This 497-nucleotide ribosomal RNA is filed under the name uncultured bacterium. Its description in RNAcentral is "partial 16S ribosomal RNA". It matches the Rfam family "Bacterial small subunit ribosomal RNA", at positions 28 to 507 of the family's 1533-position model. The record is from RNAcentral.
GAUGAACGCUGGCGGCGUGCCUAAUACAUGCAAGUCGAGCGAACGGACGAGAAGCUUGCUUCUCUGAUGUUAGCGGCGGACGGGUGAGUAACACGUGGAUAACCUACCUAUAAGACUGGGAUAACUUCGGGAAACCGGAGCUAAUACCGGAUGAUAUUUUGAACCGCAUGGUUCAAAAGUGAAAGACGGUCUUGCUGUCACUUAUAGCUGGAUCCGCGCUGCAUUAGCUAGUUGGUAAGGUAACGGCUUACCAAGGCAACGAUGCAUAGCCGACCUGAGAGAGUGAUCGGCCACACUGGAACUGAGACACGGUCCAGACUCCUACGGGAGGCAGCAGUAGGGAAUCUUCCGCAAUGGGCGAAAGCCUGACGGAGCAACGCCGCGUGAGUGAUGAAGGUCUUCGGAUCGUAAAACUCUGUUAUUAGGGAAGAACAGAUGUGUAAGUAACUGUGCACAUCUUGACGGUACCUAAUCAGAAAGCCACGGCUAACUACGUG